UGUCCAGGGAUGGGAAUCGAACCCACAGUGUUCCGCUUACCGGGCCAUGCCAUGUCCACUUGGCUACCCUCUGGAC
Cordylochernes scorpioides is the source of this 76-nucleotide non-coding RNA. NCBI's taxonomy places the organism in Eukaryota, Metazoa, Arthropoda, Arachnida, Pseudoscorpiones, Chernetidae. The record is from the annotation of a GenBank genome assembly.